UAUUGCGCAAUGGGGGCAACCCUGGCGCAGCAACGCCGCGUGAAGGAUGAAGGUUUUCGGAUUGUAAACUUCUUUUGUUAGGGACGAACNCUGACGGUACCUAACGAAUAAGCUCCGGCUAACUACGUGCCAGCAGCCGCGGUAAUACGUAGGGAGCAAGCGUUGUCCGGAUUUACUGGGUGUAAAGGGUGCGUAGGCGGCUUUGUAAGUCAGAUGUGAAAUCUAUGGGCUCAACCCAUAAACUGCAUUUGAAACUACAGAGCUUGAGUGAAGUAGAGGCAGGCGGAAUUCCCUGUGUAGCGGUGAAAUGCGUAGAGAUAGGGAGGAACACCAGUGGCGAAGGCGGCCUGCUGGGCUUUAACUGACGCUGAGGCACGAAAGCGUGGGUAGCAAACAGG
RNAcentral lists this ribosomal RNA (398 nucleotides) under uncultured bacterium. Its description in RNAcentral is "bacterial SSU rRNA". It matches the Rfam family "Bacterial small subunit ribosomal RNA", at positions 362 to 776 of the family's 1533-position model. The record is from RNAcentral.